RNAcentral lists this ribosomal RNA (3273 nucleotides) under Triticum aestivum (bread wheat). RNAcentral describes it as "partial small subunit ribosomal RNA". Lineage: Eukaryota; Viridiplantae; Streptophyta; Magnoliopsida; Poales; Poaceae. The record is from RNAcentral.
AUGUUAUACCUCUGCCUACAGCUGGUGUUGUGCCUCCUCUUCCAAGAAAGACAUGCGGCGCACCAUGGAGGGACCACAAUGAGGUCUCAACACAUGGCCCUCCUCCAGUGGAAAGCUACCCUUGCGAGCCCACCGCAGCAGAUGAGCUCUUGGCAGGGAAACACCAGCCCUUGCAACUGGACGGGCAUCAUGUGCACGGCUGUUCACCAUGGCCGUCGUAGGCCCUGGGUGGUAACCAACAUCUCCCUGCCGAAUGCUGGCAUCCGUGGCCAGCUUGGUGAGCUCAACUUCUCGGCUCUUCCAUUCCUCGCAUAUAUUGACCUCAGCAACAACAGUCUGCAUGGUGCACUGCCCGGUAGUAUCAGCUCCCUGACAUCACUUUCGGUACUUGUCCUUCACCACAACCAGCUCAUAGGGAAAAUUCCUUAUGAGAUUGGUGGCCUGGAAAGUCUAAGCCUUCUUGAGCUCUCGUUUAACAGACUCACAGGACAUAUCCCUGCAUCUCUGUGUAACCUAACAAUGUUAACUGAUCUUCUCAUUAACCAAAACAUGCUAUCAGGUCUCAUUCCUAAGGAGAUUGGAAGGCUUGUCAACCUACAAAUUCUACAGCUAAGCAACAGCGCCUUAAGUGGCAUGAUACCAAAAACCCUUGGAAACCUAACCCAACUAAAUACUUUGUACCUCUUUGGUAAUCAACUUUCAGGGCCUAUACCCCAAGAGCUAGGCAGGCUAGUCCGUUUGCAAGUUCUUGGGCUUAAUUCAAAUGAUUUUUCAGGCCCAAUUCCAAUCUUCAUAGUCAAUCUCACUAAGAUGAACCAGCCUUUUCUCUAUGGAAAUCAAAUAACAGGCUCGAUACCCCCAGAACUAGGAAACCUCGCUAUGCUAAACCAACUUAUUCUCGACGAAAAUCAAAUAUCUGGUACAAUACCACCAGAACUAGGGAACCUCACUAUGCUCAAUACGUUUACUCUCUUAACAAAUCAAAUCACAGGCCCAAUACCUAUAGAAUUGGGCAGCUUGCUGAAUCUCCAGAUGUUAGACUUGUCCAACAACCAAAUAACCGGUACCAUUCCCCAAGAGAUUGGCAAUCUAAUGAACCUCGUAGAUUUAGAAUUGUCUCUGAACCAAAUUUCGGGAUCAAUACCAAAAACUUUUGGGAAGUUGCAAAGGCUGCAAAGUCUGGAACUCUUCAAUAACAAGUUAUCAGGUUCUCUUCCUCAAGAAUUUGGAGAUCUCAUAAACCUUGUUGAACUUGGGCUGGAAAGAAACUCACUUUCAGGACCUUUACCCGCAAAUAUAUGUUCAGGUGGCAGACUUCGAUAUCUCAAUGUCUUUUCUAAUAUGUUCAAUGGCCCCAUUCCAAGGAGUUUAAAGACAUGUAUAGGUUUGCGUAAACUUUCCCUUGACAGCAACCAACUAACAGGAGACAUCUCUCAGGAUUUUGAUGUGUAUCCACAACUCAUAUGGAUGAUCUUGUCAUCGAAUAGACUCUCAGGGCAGAUCUCAGAAAACCUAGGUGCAAGUAACCAGCUAACACAACUACAUCUCCAAAAAAAUAUGAUCACAGGUUCCAUACCUCCAAUCCUUUCUAAAUUGUCCAACCUAGAAGAACUAAGACUUGAGUAUAAUCAUCUCAGCGGUGAAAUUCCACCAGAAAUGUGCACUUUUGCAAAUCUAUAUGUGCUGAACUUAUCGUCGAACCAAUUAUCCGGGUCUAUACCUACACAGAUAGAAAAGCUGAGCAAUCUAGGAUACCUUGAUAUAUCUGGGAACAUGCUAAGUGGAUCAAUACCUAAGGAACUAGGGGACUGCAUGAGACUAUUGUUCUUAAAGAUCAACAACAACAAUUUCAAUGGGAGUUUGCCCAGUGAGAUUGGAAAUUUAGCAGGCCUGCAAAUCAAGUUAGAUGUGAGCAACAAUAACCUUAGUGGUGUGUUGCCGCAACAACUUGGGAAGUUGGAGAUGCUAGAAUUUAUGAAUUUAUCACAUAAUCAGUUCAAUGGCAGCAUUCCAUCCUCCUUUGCAAGCAUGGUGAGUCUUUCAACACUUGAUGUGUCCUACAAUGACUUGGAAGGACCACUCCCAACAACACGGCUACUCCAAAAUGCUUCAGCAAGUUGGUUUCUUCACAAUAAAGGUCUGUGCGGCAACAUCUCUGGCAUGACACCUUGUUAUUCAACUCCAGUAGCUGGUCACCAUAAACGGAAGAUACUUGGUUUGCUUUUGCCAAUUCUUCUUGUGGUGGGUUUCAGCAUUGUUGCUGCAAUUGUUGUCAUAAUAAUGCUUAAUCAUAACAAGAGAAAACCUCAAGAAAGGGUUACUGCUGAAAGAAGGGACCUAUUCUGUGUUUGGAAUUUUGAUGGAAGAUUAGCAUUUGACGACAUUGUAAGGGCGACAGAAGACUUUGAUGAUAAGUACAUCGUUGGAACGGGAGGAUACGGCAAAGUCUACAGGGCACAACUCGAAGAUGGGCAGCUGGUUGCUGUGAAGAAGCUUCAUCAGACCGAAGAAGAGUUAGAUGAUGAAAGAAGAUUUCAUAGUGAAAUGGAAAUCUUAACACAGAUCCGACAACGAAGCAUUGUCAAAAUGUAUGGAUUCUGCUCCCAUCGAGCAUAUAAAUUUCUUGUCUACAACUACAUUCAGCAGGGAAGCCUCCACAGGACAUUGGAAAAUGAGGAACUAUCAAAGGAACUGGAUUGGCACAAGAGAAUUGCUCUUGCAAAUGAUGUGGCUCAAGCAAUAUCUUAUUUGCACCACGAAUGCAGUCCACCUAUAAUCCAUCGAGAUAUCACGAGCAACAACAUCUUACUUGAUACAUCCUUCAAGGGUUUUGUCUCGGAUUUCGGCACAGCAAGGAUUCUUAAGCCUGAUUCAUCAAACUGGAGUGCACUUGCAGGAACGUAUGGCUACAUAGCUCCUGAAUUGUCGUACACAUCUGUUGUGACAGAGAAAUGCGAUGUCUAUAGCUUUGGAGUGGUUGUGCUAGAGCUAGUGAUGGGGAAGCAUCCAAGGGAUCUAUUAGACGGUACUUUGUCAAACGGAGAACAAGUCAUACUGGUGAAAGAUAUUCUGGACCAACGACUGACAACACCAACAACUGAAGAGAAUCAGUUAGCUCUGCUCAUCAAGCUGGCCUUUUCUUGCUUGGAAUCUUCUCCACAAGCAAGGCCUAGCAUGCGGGAGGCAUACCAAAUGCUCAUCGAGCGACCCUCCUCCAGUUCAUGUUCUGUGCCUUUCAGCGCACUUCCGUUACAACAAGUAAGGACGAGUUGA